AGCCAUCAGAGAUCGUAUACAAGAGCGGCUAAUGGGGCAGCAGUCAGGAGGGUCCAAAUAUCUGCUGCCUAAUGGCAAGGAUGACAUUGAUAAUGAGGAUGAAGAAUACUAUGAUGAAGAUGAUGAGGAUGAAGAGUACUAUGAUGAGGAAGAAUACUAUGAGUCCUCAGACGAAGAGGAGAAAGAGAAGAAGGCAGAAAAGAAAUAAGUGAUCUUCUCCAUGCUUUCCAGCCCCUCAGUUUCGGUAGAUUACUAUACAGUAGCUAUGGAAGGUGAAAUAUGAUUUUCAUAGUGGCAGGAGAGAGUUUGAACAUCGGAAUGGAAAUAUGUUGUUUGUUUUGACAUUUCCUGUGGUCGAAAUUUCGACAACUCUGGGCAAAAGCAUACAUGAAAAAUGAUUUAUGUUGGUUAUGGGUAUGGAAGAGGACCUAGCAGAAGCUGUUUGUGUUUGUGUAUGGGCUGUGAGUGAAGUUAUAAUGGGAAGGUUGUGAACCAGAUUGAGAGCUUUUCAUCAUAAGUAUGGUUUAGAUUCUUUAUAACAGUUGUUUCUUUGAAGCUUUCAUUCUUUACUGUUUUGGUCAGCUUGUACUUUUUUUUUUUUUUUCUCUCUCAUAUGUUACAAUCAAUCUACCCCAUUCUGAUCAACCCUUAAUCCUAAAUUACCCAAAGACUAAGAAAAUGGGAAUGGUAGGGACCAAAUUUUUAAGAAUCAUUAGGUUUGUGCAUGUGGACACAGGUAACUUUGUGGACACAUAGGUAAUAAAGUUAAUAUUAUACAUAUAUUUUAAUUAUUUAAUAAAAAUUAAAAGAAGUUAUUUGGUAAAAAAUUAAACAAAAAUUUAAAACUUUUAAGUAUUUUAGGUAUUUUUGUUUAAAAAAAAAAUACUUGGAUGUCAUGACAAUAUUUAUCCUGUAAUAAAAAAAUCUAGAUAUUAAGUUAAAAGUAAUUAAUUAUUUAUUUUAUUGAGUUUCUAUUUUAUGAUUUUUUUUUUCAUAUGAGCAUAUUUUAUUAUUUCUUGAGUUGGUGAGUAUGGCUUGAAAUUUCCUUAACAUCAUUAAUAAACAGACAUAAGUUAUUAUUUGUUUAAUAAUAUUUUUUCUUAAAAUUUGAAAAAUAAAAUUAUUAAUCUUGUUUUAAUAAAAUUUUUGGAUAUAAUGUUUCCUAAACUUUUUUUAAAAUUAAAAUAAUAAUCCUAUUCAAAUGAAAUUCCUAACUCUUAUCAAAUUAAAAUAAAAUAAAAAUUAUAUUUUCAUCACAAUCGCCUAAAAGAAACUAUUAAAGUUAGAUAUGAAAGUACGAAAACUUAUUUAAUUUCAUAAAUCAAAAUUUAUGUGUAUUACAUAUAUUUUUCUUAAAUAAAAAUAACAAUUUAGAUUUGAAAAAAAAAAUUAUAUCUCAAUCUUAUAUAUCUAUUAAAUAUUAAUUUUAUCAUUAUUAAUAUUUGUGUUUAAUAAAUAUUAAUUUUUGUCUUUAUUUUAAUAAAAUGAAAAAUGAAAAAGAGGAUAUGAAUAUGAUUUUCUAUUUUUUAAAAAUAUAUUAUUUUUAUCUAAAUAAUUGCAAGUAUCUUAUAUCCAAAAAUUCUUUAUAUAGAAAACUGAGAAUAAAAUACCCAUUUAUUUAUUUAUUUUUAUAUUGCAAAUAGAAUUAAUGAGUAUUUUUGUGCUUUGGAAGUAAUGGAUUCUUUCCUUUAGAUCAUCAAGUGAAAGAGAUAGCACAUGGAACAUCGCUUCUAAUGGAGCCUUCGUCAACCUCCACCAAAGGGUGAGAUCGAAAUGCCUAAUGAUUAUUUGAAUUUUGAAGAACUAUUAGCUCAAGAUUCUUGAAUCGAACUGUUAGAAUUGGAAAGGUGAUUGAAAGGGCCCACAAUUAGAUGUCUUAACUCAACCAUCAAUCGGAGGGUUUGCAUUUCAUUGCGAAUGAAAUUCCAUAUUUGAAAGUCUUUGGUAUGGAGUAUCAAUAGCCACAGAUCAUCAACUCAAUGCAUUUCAAAUGGUAAAAGGGUUAUGAUUCACGGUUGAGAUUACAUUAAAUUAUAAGAAUGACAAUGGUCAUCUCGUGAGAGGUAAGGAGAUUGAGAAUGAAAUAAGAAGUUUGAUGAAUAAUGAUCAUGAAAUCAAAGGAAGAGUGAAGGAGAUGAAAGAAAAUAUCACAAGUAUCCUUAUUGAUGGUGGAUUUUCACACACUUGCUUAGGGCGUCUAAUUGAAGAAAUGAUUACCAACAUAGCAUAAAAACAAUGUUCAUGUGAUUCAAACAUCCAAGGAAUAUAUCAUCUUUAAAGAUGUUAAAGUUGUAUGUUUAUGCAUUAUAUCUUAUUAGAGAGUUCAUUUGUUAAAAAUCUUAUUAUUUUUCAAUGUGAAAAUUAGUGUGGAGAAAAAAGUACAUUACUGUUAUUUACAAUGAAAAUUCAAUAAAUAUGUCUAAAUUAAUUAUUAUAAAUUAAUUGAAUAUUUUAAUCUAAAAAGUGAACACCAAAAGCUUAUUAGUAUUUGUUUAAAAGAAUAGGGAACAAUCUACUCAUGAGAGUUUUGAAAAUUCAUCAUGGAAUAUCUUCCCUUGAUAAGAGAUUGAAGGCAUUUGGCUCCUGCUUGUUAUUGCAAGAUUGUUGAGGAAUAUGAUGUAGUUGGGGGCUAAGUUAGAGAAAGAUUAGGGUAUGAUUAUUGGUUUAACACAUUAUUUUAUUGUUAUUGCUUUAUUCUCUUACACUAAUUCCUUACGGGUAUGUUUUGUUACUCGAAAAUUUUCUUAGCAUUAACAUAGAACAAUAGUUGUAUAUCGUUUUUCUCUUCUGUUUCCUUCAUUUUCUUGCAUUUCUUUUUUCAUCUGGGUUGCACUCAAAUGUGAAAUUUACGAUUGCUUUCACUGGGAAAUUGGUUUUCUGUAUUAUUGUCGUUUGUGUUUAUCUCACAUUUUUUUCCCUUUUUUUCCAUUAGUUUCUGGCCUUAAGCGUUGUGUGUUCUAGUCAAAAUGUGAAGUUCAUGAUCAAUUUUCCCAAAUAAUUCAUUUGGGAAUUCGUUUGCUACGUGAACUGUUAUGUAUUAUUUUUGUCAUUCUCCUUCUCAAAUUUUGCCUAUCAGUUGGUUGCUGGAAAACUGAGGGAAAAAUGAAAGAAAUUAGAAUCCUGAAUCUAAUAUUUAUAACCUCAAGUGAGCCAAUUAAUGGUAUUGGGGAUCUGUAUGUUUUGCCUCUUUCUCUCCUUCAUUUCUCGCUUUUCCCUUCCGGGUUUGCCGUCAGAAUGUGAAGUUUUGAAGAAAAUGUUAAGGUUUAGCAAUCAAGUCAUGGGAAAUUUCUUGUGCGUGUUAGAGAAAUUCAAGAGGCUUCAAAUAUCUGCUGCCUAAUGGCAAGGAUGACAUCGAUAAUGAGGUGAGGGAUUCUAUGAUGAAGAGGAUGAAGAGUAUUAUGAUGAGGAAGAAUACUAUUGAGUCCUCAGACGAGUAGCAGAAUGAGAAGGCAGAAAAGAAAUAGGUGAUCUUCUCCAUGCUUACCGGUCCCUGAGUUUUUGGUAGAUCACUAUAGAAUAGCUAUGGAAGGUGAAGUUUGAUUUUCAUCAUGGCAGAAGAGAGUUUGAACAUCAGAAUGGAAAUAUCUUGUUUGUUUUGACAUUUUUGUGUGGUCGAAAUUUUGACAACUCUGGGCAAAAGUAUACAUGAAAAAUGAUUUAUGUUGGUUAUGGGUAUGGAAGAGGACCUAGCAGAAGCUGUUUCUGUUUGUGUAUGGCCUGCGAGUGAGUGAAGUUAUAAUGGGAAAGCUGUGAACCAGAUUGAAAGCUUUUCAUCAUCAAGUAUGGUUUAGAUUCUUUGUGACAGUUGUUACUUUGAAGCUUUAUUCUUUACUGUUUUGGUCAGCUUAUACUUCCUUUUUCUACCAAACUAAUCAUGUAACAAUCAAUCUACCCCUUUCUGAUCAACCCUUAUCCUAAAUCACCCAAGGACUCAGAAUAUCCAAAUGGUAGGGACCAAUUUUUAAGAAUCAAAUACGUGACGACAAAGUAGUCAACACACAGCCCUCCAAAGGAGACUUUCAA
RNAcentral lists this long non-coding RNA (4023 nucleotides) under Vitis vinifera (wine grape). Its description in RNAcentral is "long non-coding RNA (VVIN_LNC000887)". Lineage: Eukaryota; Viridiplantae; Streptophyta; Magnoliopsida; Vitales; Vitaceae. The record is from RNAcentral.